UACGUAGGGGGCAAGCGUUGUCCGGAUUUAUUGGGCGUAAAGAGCGUGUAGGCGGUCAGGUAGGUCCGUUGUGAAAACUCGAGGCUCAACCUCGAGACGCCGAUGGAAACCAUCUGACUAGAGUCCGGAAGAGGAGAGUGGAAUUCCUGGUGUAGCGGUGAAAUGCGCAGAUAUCAGGAGGAACACCGAUGGCGAAGGCAGGUCUCUGGGCCACUACUGACGCUGAGACGCGAAAGCGUGGGGAGCGAACAGG
This 253-nucleotide ribosomal RNA is filed under the name uncultured bacterium. Its description in RNAcentral is "partial 16S ribosomal RNA". It matches the Rfam family "Bacterial small subunit ribosomal RNA", at positions 524 to 776 of the family's 1533-position model. The record is from RNAcentral.